Non-coding RNA from Vibrio splendidus, 194 nucleotides. The record is from Rfam. NCBI's taxonomy places the organism in Bacteria, Pseudomonadati, Pseudomonadota, Gammaproteobacteria, Vibrionales, Vibrionaceae.
AUAAGAAAGACAAAAGAGCGACCGUUAGGUCGCUCUAUAUUGGCAUUUUUAUUACAUCAUUUGGUUUGGCCGCCGAUCAGUAAUAAAAAUAACCCUCAGGUUACGCAUAGCUGGCUACUAAUCAGGUUCCUUACGCUAUUAAUGAUUAGUGGUUUUUGUAACUCUAACCCAGGUACUUACUUGGGUUUUUUUAU